RNAcentral lists this ribosomal RNA (634 nucleotides) under Klebsiella pneumoniae. RNAcentral describes it as "bacterial SSU rRNA". It matches the Rfam family "Bacterial small subunit ribosomal RNA", at positions 92 to 722 of the family's 1533-position model. Lineage: Bacteria; Pseudomonadati; Pseudomonadota; Gammaproteobacteria; Enterobacterales; Enterobacteriaceae. The record is from RNAcentral.
CGAGCGGCGGACGGGUGAGUAAUGUCUGGGAAACUGCCUGAUGGAGGGGGAUAACUACUGGAAACGGUAGCUAAUACCGCAUAACGUCGCAAGACCAAAGUGGGGGACCUUCGGGCCUCAUGCCAUCAGAUGUGCCCAGAUGGGAUUAGCUAGUAGGUGGGGUAACGGCUCACCUAGGCGACGAUCCCUAGCUGGUCUGAGAGGAUGACCAGCCACACUGGAACUGAGACACGGUCCAGACUCCUACGGGAGGCAGCAGUGGAAAAUAUUGCACAAUGGGCGCAAGCCUGAUGCAGCCAUGCCGCGUGUAUGAAGAAGGCCUUCGGGUUGUAAAGUACUUUCAGCGAGGAGGAAGGCAUUAAGGUUAAUAACCUUGGUGAUUGACGUUACUCGCAGAAGAAGCACCGGCUAACUCCGUGCCAGCAGCCGCGGUAAUACGGAGGGUGCAAGCGGUAAUCGGAAUUACUGGGCGUAAAGCGCACGCAGGCGGUCUGUUAAGUCAGAUGUGAAAUCCCCGGGCUCAACCUGGGAACUGCAUUUGAAACUGGCAGGCUUGAGUCUUGUAGAGGGGGGUAGAAUUCCAGGUGUAGCGGUGAAAUGCGUAGAGAUCUGGAGGAAUACCGGUGGCGAAGGC